UUUGGCAGAAUCUGUGAAUUCCUCACAAGCACAUUUCACAAGCUCCUAUCUCUUUACUGGGCAGCUUUGACUGGCUCUCAGGCAUGGAAUCUACUUCCCUUUUGUGUUUACCUGGACUGGAUAUUAACUCAAACAUGGGGCCAUUUUCAUUUGACAGCAAUACAUUCCUGGUUUUGUGCCCCUCACAGGGGCAGACAUUUAAAUAGACUUGGACUUCAAACCAUCCAACUACAGUUGUUCCUUUUUCCUGCCAUGGGAGAACUCCUACAACCAUCGACAUCAGGACAAAUCCCCAGCCACAAGAGCCCAGAUCCAAACCAUUCAGCUUUUCAGCCAAUCAGGGGAAGACAUGGGUGCUUUGAAUGGCUGCAAAAGUAAAUAAAAUGCUCUGUAUACAUGUUUUAAGUCAGUUCCUUUGAGAGCGCAGACUUUGUACUAACAUUAUUUCUGUUCAUUUUACCUUCAAAUCUAGUUCAUAUCUUGAUAUGGCCUUUAGAGUAGUGAAGCACGCCAGGUUUUGAACCCACGGUUUAGCUGUUAGUUGAAAUCACUAAACUGUUUGGUGAACAUUGAGUUCAAAAUGCAAAAGUAGUUAACUAAGAGUGCAUCUACACUGUCAAAUUAAUGCAAUUUGAUACCGAUUUAACUGUCUUGGCUCUAUGCUAUGGAACCCUGGGAUCUGUAGUUUGGUAAGGCAUCAGUGUCCUUUGGUAGAGAAGGCUAAAGACCACAUAAAACUGCAAUUCUCAUGCUGCCAUAACAACACAUGACACCAUUAUUGCACCUCAAUUGUCAUGGCUGUAGAACCCUGGAAUUUGCAGUUUGGUGAGGCACUGGAAUACUUCUCUGCUGAGGCUUCUAAAUGCUCUCCUGAAAUUGCAAAUUCCAGGAUUCCAUAAGAUGUUGCUAUACUAAUUAGAGUGGAAUCAUAGUUAUGUAAUAAUGUAGUUAUGAAAAGGCUUCAUCUUGUCACUAUACCCCAUUUAUUGCAGUGAGUUCAACGCAAAGGAGUCUGCACUAGUAGUCUGUGAAAAUAGAAAUAUGUACGUGGAGACUUUGUACAUUGCAACAAAGACACCCCUUCCACCUAUUGCUGUUCAGAAAGCAAAGGAAGUCAACAGAUUCCUUAACAAUUAACACUUUCCAGGGCUGGUCUUGUGGGAGAUAUGACGCCCCUGUGUUGGAGAGAGGCCCAAACCAUUU
RNAcentral lists this long non-coding RNA (1203 nucleotides) under Anolis carolinensis (green anole). Its description in RNAcentral is "lncRNA (ENSACAG00000035323.1)". The record is from RNAcentral. Lineage: Eukaryota; Metazoa; Chordata; Lepidosauria; Squamata; Anolidae.